CUUCUGUUUAGCCUCAUAAAAUAUUGUAUUAUUUUCAACAACUGUUUACACAUAAAUCAAUGUGAACAUGACCCAUAGGAAACUCAGCAGCAAGUGUGCAUCCAGGGAUAUGAAAGGGCCACAGGGCUACUGCAAGAUGAAGACAGGGAGGCUCCAGCCGUGCAUCACACCAUGGUCUGCCCCUUCCCUGCCAAUUACAGCAUCUCCUCUAAGCUGCACAGAAACCUGGGAGGGAGGCUUUGAGAGCUUAGUGACUUGCCCCAGCUCACCCAGCCUGGAGUGACAGGGCAUGGACCAGGCCCCUGACAUCCUGACCUCAGCCUUUCCUCAACCCGGUCAGGCUGGCUGCAUAGGGUGGACCCGAGAUCUUCAGGCCUCGGCAGCCUGGCCCAGCAGGAAGACAUUGAAGCUCACCAGGAGGUGGCAGGGAGUGUCCCUGGGGGAAGCUGCUGAGGCCAGUGCUCAGGAAGGAACCAGGGCUCUGUCUGAGGACCAAUUCCAUCCGGGCCUGGUAAGGGACAUGUGGCUGUCCAGUGUGAAUGUUCUGUGCUUGUAUAUUUCAGCCUAAAUUCCCAGUUCUUUGGCAACCUGAAUACUGAACGUUUUCAGAGUAGUUUUUCUCCCAAGGCGUUUGUUCUGGAUCACUAGUGUCUGGUAUAUAUCAUUUUUGAUUCAACAUAUUUAAAACUCAUUUCCCCCCCAGACAAGACAAAUAGAAUUUGUAGCUUUCCAUAUGGGCUUUUCAAAAAGAUUGGUACUGGGAGCCAUUGGCUUCCCGGAGUGGUGUCAUUUGAUUAGCCCUGGUGUUCUUCCACUUACGGGGAGUGGGUAAUUGCAGUUGUUCCAAGUGGGAGAUGGUGUGAUUGGGUUUUUCUCCUAUGGGGAAAAACAAAUCCUAUCAGAUAGAUGAGUUUCUGGCAUUUCCUAUUCUUCUUUGUGACAGGAUCUUCCAGAAUAGAAGUCUCCCAGCAGUGCACAUCCAGGAAGCAUCCAGGCCAGGUUGGGCAGGGUUUAAUAAGCGCUGGGCCUUUCACCUGGAUGCUGGGAAGGUGCUUGGAUCUAUGAAAACCCCAGGGUGGGGUCAGGGGCCAAUGCAGAGGUUUCCCAGAGAGCUCUGGGGCUGGGUCACUUCCCCACUGGCCAGUCUGUCAUGCUGAAUGCCCAGGACUUCCACAAUGAGUCCCAGAGGUGAGAUGACAGGGUCAGGGUCAGGGCCCACUUCUGCAGGAGUUGCCACUUACCUUGUUUGUUAGGACACAGGCAGAGUGUUGGAACAGAGAGGAUUGCCUGGAGGUUCCUAGGACCACAGCAAGAGGUGUUGUGGGGGGCUUCCCGGCUUCCCGGAGGCCCUUCUUCCCAUGACAGGAGGGACAGUGGAGAUAGCACCUACUCUGGUGACCUUGCUCUCUGCUUUUGUCUUGUGACCUGCUUGUGGGUGAGCCCUACCCCUUGGUUUCCACGUGACCCAUAAAGUCUACUCAUUUUCUGUCCAGGGUUCAGGCACAGAGAGAAAAGGCAAGGAUGUGGAGGGAGAGGAGAGUCCCUGGAAGGAAUGUCCCCAGCAUAUCAGCCUGGAGUUUCCAUUCAGGAAAUUUCCCCAGCUCCCCAGACCCUCCCAGACUUGCCUCCUCCCUCCUGACAAAGCCCCAGCCCUACCCAUAGCCCCAGCCACCACCCCCUUUGAGGAGAGAAGGUGCUGGGUUGGGUGAGGAGCUCUGCGGGAGGACUGAACCAAGCUGUGGGCUCCUGGGCACCUGCCCAUGAGCCAGGCCUGCAUCUCCCAGACCUGCUUGUGGGUGAGCCUGCAUGCUGACAUGCUUGGCUGGGCUCUAGCCUUGGCUAUUGGUGGCCCAGGGUGUGUGUGUGUGUGCGUGCAUGUGUGUGUGUGUCCCUUUGGAGCUAUGUAGUUUGUGUACCAAAAUAAGAAGGGAGCUGGGGAGUUGAGCCCUGAUGAACUUUGUAACAAUAAAGCCUUAUCUUGUUAAAUAAAUCAAGCCUUGAAUAAAUG
Molecule: long non-coding RNA, 2008 nt
Filed under: Homo sapiens (human)
Lineage: Eukaryota; Metazoa; Chordata; Mammalia; Primates; Hominidae
Description: HSALNT0128737
Source: RNAcentral